Long non-coding RNA from Ictalurus punctatus (channel catfish), 675 nucleotides. Lineage: Eukaryota; Metazoa; Chordata; Actinopteri; Siluriformes; Ictaluridae. The record is from Ensembl.
GCUAAACUACAAUAUUCUAGACUAGCACAACAAACUCCAGGCCAAACUACAAUAUUCUAGACUAGCACAACAAACUCCAGGCUAAACUACAAUAUUCUAGACUAGCACAACAAACUCCAGGCCAAACUACAAUAUUCUAGCCUAGCACAACAAACUCCAGGCCAAACUACAAUAUUCUAGCCUAGCACAACACACUCCAGGCUAAUUUACAACAUUCCAGGCUAGCAGAACACACUCCAGACUAAUUUACAACAUUCCAGGCUAGCACAACACACUCCAGGCUAAACUACAACAUUCCAGGCUAGCACAACACACUCCAGGCUAAUUUAAAAAACAUUCCAGGCUAGCAGAACACACUCCAGGCUAAUUUACAACAUUCCAGGCUAGCACAACACAUUCCAGGCUAGCAGAACACACUCCAGGCUAAACUACAACAUUCCAGGCUAGCACAACACACUCCAGGCUAAACUACAACAUUCCAGGCUAGCAGAACACACUCCAGGCUAAUUUAAAAAACAUUCCAGGCUAGCAGAACACACUCCAGGCUAAUUUACAACAUUCCAGGCUAGCACAACACACUCCAGGCUAAACUACAACAUUCCAGGCUAGCACAACGCACUCCAGGCUAAACUACAACAUUCCAGGCUAGCACAACACACUCCACGCUAAACUACA